Molecule: transfer RNA, 66 nt
Filed under: Clinostomum complanatum
Lineage: Eukaryota; Metazoa; Platyhelminthes; Trematoda; Strigeidida; Clinostomidae
Description: tRNA-Phe
Source: RNAcentral
ACCUCCCUAGCUUAAGAUUAAAAGUGUUAGUUUGAAGGGCUAAAGAUACUAUUAUGUGGGAGGUGC